This 485-nucleotide ribosomal RNA is filed under the name uncultured bacterium. RNAcentral describes it as "partial 16S ribosomal RNA". It matches the Rfam family "Bacterial small subunit ribosomal RNA", at positions 28 to 523 of the family's 1533-position model. The record is from RNAcentral.
GAUGAACGCUAGCGGCAGGCCUAAUACAUGCAAGUCGAACGGUGUCUUCGGACAUAGUGGCGCACGGGUGCGUAACACGUAUGCAACCUACCUUACAUUGGGGGAUAGCCUUUCGAAAGGGAGAUUAAUACCGCAUAAGACAGUAGCCGGGCAUCCAGCAGCUGUUAAAGAUUUAUCGAUGUAAGCUGGGCAUGCGUCCAAUUAGCUAGUUGGUGAGGUAACGGCUAACCAAGGAAAUGAUUGGUAGGGGAACUGAGAGGUCAAUCCCCCACCCUGGCACUGAGAUACGGGCCAGACUCCUACGGGAGGCAGCAGUAGGGAAUAUUGGGCAAUGGACGCAAGUCUGACCCAGCCAUGCCGCGUGCAGGGUGAAGGCGUUAUGCGUUGUAAACUGCUUUUAUACAGGAAGAAACGACUCUUGCGAGAGGCAUUGACGGUACUGUAUGAAUAAGCACCGGCUAACUCCGUGCCAGCCGCCGCGGUAA